RNAcentral lists this small RNA (741 nucleotides) under Pongo abelii (Sumatran orangutan). RNAcentral's name for it is "retained intron". The record is from RNAcentral. Lineage: Eukaryota; Metazoa; Chordata; Mammalia; Primates; Hominidae.
GGUGCUUUGAACUGUGAAGAAAAACUAACACUAGCUAAGAAUACACUGCAGGCUGUAAGUCUCGACUGUUUUGUCCAACAUCUAUGUCACGUUUCCUGCUUCUCACCCUCUGCUCUAAUCGUUGAAGUUAGCAAUCGAGGAAUCCAGAUGUAUUAUUUCCCUUUUUUUUUGGAAUUGCAGUAGACUUCUUGGCGCCUUCUGUCCUAGUGAGUGGGGCAAUGGAAGUUUUCCCACUGUUAUUCUCUCUUCCUGUCUCAGGAUGCUGCUCAUCUGGAAUCAGGACAACCGGUACAAUGUGAGUCAGAUGUCAUUAUGUACAUUCAGGAGUGUGAAGGUCUCAUCAGGCAGCUGCAGGUGGAUCUCCAGAUCCUGCGGGAUGAGAAUUACUACCAGCUAGAAGAGCUGGCUUUUAGGGUCAUGCGUCUUCAGGAUGAGCUGGUCACCUUGCGUCUAGAGUGUACAAACCUGUACCGGAAGGGUCAUUUCACUUCACUUGAAUUGGUUCCACCCUCUACUUUAACCACCACUCAUCUGAAAGCAGAACCCUUAACCAAGGCAACCCAUUCUUCUUCUGCCUCCUGGUUCCGAAAGCCUAUGACUCGGGCUGAACUUGUGGCUAUCAGCUCCUCUGAAGAUGAAGGCAAUCUCCGAUUUGUGUAUGAACUACUGUCUUGGGUAGAAGAGAUGCAGGUGGGUGUAUAUCCAAAAGCUUAUGCAGUACACAGAUGUUUACUGGAUCUA